This 430-nucleotide ribosomal RNA is filed under the name uncultured bacterium. RNAcentral describes it as "bacterial SSU rRNA". It matches the Rfam family "Bacterial small subunit ribosomal RNA", at positions 43 to 524 of the family's 1533-position model. The record is from RNAcentral.
CAGGCCUAACGCAUGCAAGUCGAACGGGUGAGUAACACGCGAGUAACCUGCCCUUAACUCUGGGAUAAGCGUUGGAAACGACGUCUAAUACCGGAUAGGACUCCAUCGGGCAUCUGGUGGGGUGGAAAGAUUUCUCGGUCAUGGAUGGACUCGCGGCCUAUCAGCUUGUUGGUGGGGUGAUGGCCUACCAAGGCGACGACGGGUAGCCGGCCUGAGAGGGCGACCGGCCACACUGGGACUGAGAUACGGCCCAGACUCCUACGGGAGGCAGCAGUGGGAAUAUUGCACAAUGGGCGCAAGCCUGAUGCAGCAACGCCGCGUGCGGGAUGACGGCCUUCGGGUUGUAAACCGCUUUCACCUGUGACGAAGCGGGAGUGACGGUAGCAGGAGAAGAAGGACCGGCUAACUACGUGCCAGCAGCCGCGGUAAU